AGCAGUAGCCGCGGGAAUACGUAGGUGGCAAGCGUUGUCCGGAAUUAUUGGGCGUAAAGGGCUCGCAGGCGGUUUCUUAAGUCCGAUGUGAAAGCCCCCGGCUCAACCGGGGAGGGUCAUUGGAAACUGGGAAACUUGAGUGCAGAAGAGGAGAGUGGAAUUCCACGUGUAGCGGUGAAAUGCGUAGAGAUGUGGAGGAACACCAGUGGCGAAGGCGACUCUCUGGUCUGUAACUGACGCUGAGGAGCGAAAGCGUGGGGAGCGAACAGGAUUAGAUACCCCUGUAGUCCCUGUCUCUUAUAC
RNAcentral lists this ribosomal RNA (303 nucleotides) under uncultured bacterium. Its description in RNAcentral is "partial 16S ribosomal RNA". It matches the Rfam family "Bacterial small subunit ribosomal RNA", at positions 507 to 807 of the family's 1533-position model. The record is from RNAcentral.